This 497-nucleotide ribosomal RNA is filed under the name uncultured bacterium. RNAcentral's name for it is "partial 16S ribosomal RNA". It matches the Rfam family "Bacterial small subunit ribosomal RNA", at positions 28 to 507 of the family's 1533-position model. The record is from RNAcentral.
GGUGAACGCUGGCGGCGUGCCUAAUACAUGCAAGUCGAGCGAACGGACGAGAAGCUUGCUUCUCUGAUGUUAGCGGCGGACGGGUGAGUAACACGUGGAUAACCUACCUAUAAGACUGGGAUAACUUCGGGAAACCGGAGCUAAUACCGGAUAAUAUUUUGAACCGCAUGGUUCAAAAGUGAAAGACGGUCUUGCUGUCACUUAUAGAUGGAUCCGCGCUGCAUUAGCUAGUUGGUAAGGUAACGGCUUACCAAGGCAACGAUGCAUAGCCGACCUGAGAGGGUGAUCGGCCACACUGGAACUGAGACACGGUCCAGACUCCUACGGGAGGCAGCAGUAGGGAAUCUUCCGCAAUGGGCGAAAGCCUGACGGAGCAACGCCGCGUGAGUGAUGAAGGUCUUCGGAUCGUAAAACUCUGUUAUUAGGGAAGAACAUAUGUGUAAGUAACUGUGCACAUCUUGACGGUACCUAAUCGGAAAGCCACGGCUAACUACGUG